AGUUUGACUGGGGCGGUCUCCUCCUAAAGAGUAACGGAGGAGCACGAAGGUUGGCUAAUCCUGGUCGGACAUCAGGAGGUUAGUGCAAUGGCAUAAGCCAGCUUGACUGCGAGCGUGACGGCGCGAGCAGGUGCGAAAGCAGGUCAUAGUGAUCCGGUGGUUCUGAAUGGAAGGGCCAUCGCUCAACGGAUAAAAGGUACUCCGGGGAUAACAGGCUGAUACCGCCCAAGAGUUCAUAUCGACGGCGGUGUUUGGCACCUCGAUGUCGGCUCAUCACAUCCUGGGGCUGAAGUAGGUCCCAAGGGUAUGGCUGUUCGCCAUUUAAAGUGGUACGCGAGCUGGGUUUAGAACGUCGUGAGACAGUUCGGUCCCUA
RNAcentral lists this ribosomal RNA (374 nucleotides) under Escherichia coli. RNAcentral's name for it is "partial 23S ribosomal RNA". It matches the Rfam family "Bacterial large subunit ribosomal RNA", at positions 2267 to 2640 of the family's 2925-position model. Lineage: Bacteria; Pseudomonadati; Pseudomonadota; Gammaproteobacteria; Enterobacterales; Enterobacteriaceae. The record is from RNAcentral.